CGACGUGGAUAACCUGCCUCACACUGGGGGAUAACAGUUAGAAAUGACUGCUAAUACCGCAUAAGCGCACAGUGCCGCAUGGCAGUGUGUGAAAAACUCCGGUGGUGUGAGAUGGAUCCGCGUCUGAUUAGCCAGUUGGCGGGGUAACGGCCCACCAAAGCGACGAUCAGUAGCCGACCUGAGAGGGUGACCGGCCACAUUGGGACUGAGACACGGCCCAG
RNAcentral lists this ribosomal RNA (221 nucleotides) under uncultured bacterium. RNAcentral's name for it is "partial 16S ribosomal RNA". It matches the Rfam family "Bacterial small subunit ribosomal RNA", at positions 113 to 334 of the family's 1533-position model. The record is from RNAcentral.